AUUUCAAAAUAGCAGUAUCAGUGUCAUAAUAUCACCCUUCCACUGAGUACUGCCCACAGCUGGGGAGUAAAGAAAAGUCAUUGGGACACACUGUUGUCUCCACAUGCUACUGUGUCUGUUUGCAAAUGUAGGCAGGCUGGGGUCCUGCCCCAGGGAAGACAGAGUCACAACAGAGUAAUAAAGAAGCAUGUUUGAGACACAGGAGUGUCUAUGUCUAUCCUCUUUCCUCCCUCACAGCCAUCACCAGAGCAUGUUUCUUGCACCAGGUCAACAGAGAGUAAGAGAGGCAUGAAAAGCCCAUUGUCCACACAUGUUGCAACUUGUUUUUGGAGAAUGUUUUCCAGGCCUUUUAUGUUCUGUCUCUGAUUCUCAGAACUCCGCAAGGUCAGUGUGACCACCCUGCUCCAAAUCAAAGAAAACAGAGGUUUCCAGAGGAAGGAGAAAUUGUGCCCAGGGUCACACAGCUUGCAAGAGGCAGAGUGGAAGUUGAUUCCAGCUCUGCCUGUGGGACCCUCUCAUUUCCCCUCUGUUUCCCUUCUGGACAAAGGAUCUUCUUCACUCUGGAGGUGCCACCCAUGAGAACAAAGAGCUCUGGAGAUAUGUGGAUUCCUGAAGAGCUUCAGGGGAACUGGGAGAGGGAUUUCUGACAGAACAAUCUUACCUCAAGAAGUCAGUUAGA
RNAcentral lists this non-coding RNA (679 nucleotides) under Pongo abelii (Sumatran orangutan). Lineage: Eukaryota; Metazoa; Chordata; Mammalia; Primates; Hominidae. The record is from RNAcentral.